RNAcentral lists this ribosomal RNA (405 nucleotides) under uncultured bacterium. RNAcentral's name for it is "bacterial SSU rRNA". It matches the Rfam family "Bacterial small subunit ribosomal RNA", at positions 354 to 777 of the family's 1533-position model. The record is from RNAcentral.
GUGGGGGAUAUUGCACAAUGGAGGAAACUCUGAUGCAGCGACGCCGCGUGAGGGAAGACGGUCUUCGGAUUGUAAACCUCUGUCUUUGGGGAAGAAAAUGACGGUACCCAAAGAGGAAGCUCCGGCUAACUACGUGCCAGCAGCCGCGGUAAUACGUAGGGAGCGAGCGUUGUCCGGAAUUACUGGGUGUAAAGGGAGCGUAGGCGGGCGAGAAAGUUGAAUGUUAAAUCUACCGGCUUAACUGGUAGCUGCGUUCAAAACUUCUUGUCUUGAGUGAAGUAGAGGCAGGCGGAAUUCCUAGUGUAGCGGUGAAAUGCGUAGAUAUUAGGAGGAACACCAGUGGCGAAGGCGGCCUGCUGGGCUUUAACUGACGCUGAGGCUCGAAAGCGUGGGGAGCAAACAGGA